RNAcentral lists this ribosomal RNA (526 nucleotides) under Phyllobathelium firmum. RNAcentral's name for it is "mitochondrial SSU rRNA". It matches the Rfam family "Bacterial small subunit ribosomal RNA", at positions 390 to 868 of the family's 1533-position model. Lineage: Eukaryota; Fungi; Ascomycota; Dothideomycetes; Strigulales; Strigulaceae. The record is from RNAcentral.
AGCAACUUGGUGGAAUGUAAGUAGUUUUUAUAAACAAAGUGUGAGACUUUCGCAUAAAGUUCUAGAUAAAAUAAUGAUAAUGACAACUUUUUAUCUAUAUGUCUUGACUAAAUCUUGUGCCAGCAGUCGCGGUAAGACAAGGAAGACUAGUGUUAUUCAUCUUCAUUAGGUUUAAAGGGUACCUAGACAGUUUAUAUUGCCUGAUUAAGGGACGUAUAACACUAGAGUAAGAUAUGAGAGGAAGAUGUAAGAAUUGUUGGAGUAAAGAUAAAAUAUUUUGAUAUCAAUAAGACUACCUAUGGCGAAGGCAAGCCUCUAUCUGAUUAACUGACGUUGAGGGACGAAGGCUUGGGUAAUGAACAGGAUUAGAAACCCUAAUAGUCCUUGCAGAAAAUUAUGAGUGUUAUAUAUUAGUAAGGUUGUACCCGAAAAAUAUAAUGUUUAAGGGUAAAUUAUGUAAAAAUUAGUAUAAAAUAUGUAAAAAGUAUUCUAUAUAAGUAUAGUAAUCAUACAGCAACUAUAUAUU